Erinaceus europaeus (western European hedgehog) is the source of this 385-nucleotide long non-coding RNA. RefSeq lists it as uncharacterized. The transcript has 3 exons. NCBI's taxonomy places the organism in Eukaryota, Metazoa, Chordata, Mammalia, Eulipotyphla, Erinaceidae. The record is from RefSeq and is a predicted model, not a curated record.
GCUCCAGGUUUUGUUGCUGGACCAGCGCCACGUUCCGCUCCAGUUCCACCUUCUGCUUCUCAGUGAGCUCCCCUGAUGGUGACAGGGACGCUAGUGAGGCAUCGCCCUGCUUGGGUUCCCACUAGACCCCGACCCACAAGAAAACCGUGGGAGGCUGCCGGCACCUGCACAGAUGCCCGGGACCGACUUCUAGCUGCUUGCAUGUCCCGAGUCCUCUGGAGCCCUCUCUGCUCAGGUGGAGUAUGCGGAUCAGUUCUCUCACCCGCAGAGCCACCAACCAACCCCCCAACUGAUAUUUUUAACAACAAGCUUUCCAACUCUGAAACCACAUCGCGUUUCUUUGUCAAAGUACGACAGGAUGUCUGUCAGUCACACAAACCUCUCA